GAUGAACGCUGGCGGCGUGCCUAAUACAUGCAAGUCGAACGCUGAAGCUUGGUGCUUGCACCGAGCGGAUGAGUUGCGAACGGGUGAGUAACGCGUAGGUAACCUGCCUCUUAGCGGGGGAUAACUAUUGGAAACGAUAGCUAAUACCGCAUAAAAGUCGAUAUCGCAUGAUAUUGAUUUGAAAGGUGCAAAUGCAUCACUAAGAGAUGGACCUGCGUUGUAUUAGCUAGUUGGUGAGGUAACGGCUCACCAAGGCGACGAUACAUAGCCGACCUGAGAGGGUGAUCGGCCACACUGGGACUGAGACACGGCCCAGACUCCUACGGGAGGCAGCAGUAGGGAAUCUUCGGCAAUGGGGGCAACCCUGACCGAGCAACGCCGCGUGAGUGAAGAAGGGUUUCGGAUCGUAAAGCUCUGUUGUAAGAGAAGAACGAGUGUGAGAGUGGAAAGUUCACACUGUGACGGUAACUUACCAGAAAGAGACGGCUAACUACGUG
RNAcentral lists this ribosomal RNA (497 nucleotides) under uncultured bacterium. RNAcentral's name for it is "partial 16S ribosomal RNA". It matches the Rfam family "Bacterial small subunit ribosomal RNA", at positions 28 to 507 of the family's 1533-position model. The record is from RNAcentral.